CUCUGUGACUCCUACGGGAGGCAGCAGUGGGGAAUAUUGCACAAUGGGGGAAACCCUGAUGCAGCCAUGCCGCGUGUGUGAAGAAGGCCUUCGGGUUGUAAAGCACUUUCAGUAGGGAGGAAGGUAGUGUAGUUAACACCUGCAUUAUUUGACGUUACCUACAGAAGAAGCACCGGCUAACUCCGUGCCAGCAGCCGCGGUAAUACGGAGGGUGCGAGCGUUAAUCGGAAUUACUGGGCGUAAAGCGCAUGCAGGCGGCCUGUUAAGUCAGAUGUGAAAGCCCCGGGGCUUAACCUCGGAAUUGCAUUUGAAACUGGCAGGCUAGAGUCUUGUAGAGGGGGUAGAAUUUCAGGUGUAGCGGUGAAAUGCGUAGAGAUCUGAAGGAAUACCAGUGGCGAAGGCGGCCCCCUGGACAAAGACUGACGCUCAGAUGCGAAAGCGUGGGGAGCAAACAGGAUUAGAUACCCUGGAG
Molecule: ribosomal RNA, 472 nt
Filed under: uncultured bacterium
Lineage: Bacteria
Description: bacterial SSU rRNA
Rfam family: Bacterial small subunit ribosomal RNA
Source: RNAcentral